Oncorhynchus keta (chum salmon) is the source of this 523-nucleotide non-coding RNA. The record is from the annotation of a RefSeq genome assembly. Lineage: Eukaryota; Metazoa; Chordata; Actinopteri; Salmoniformes; Salmonidae.
GUCAUUACAUCACUGAUGAGGUCACUUCCUGUUCCUCCUCUCCAGUCAGUUCAGAUGAGAUGAGAUGUCAGUUGGUUGUCAAUGAUCACUAAGUCAACAUGAUCACAACUCUUAUCAUUAUCACUGUCCCACUAUUCUGGAUUACAGGUGUCUCUCUCAGUAAAUCAGCGUACCAGUCUCCCUCUACGUCUCUGGUGAUGCCUAAUGCCUCUGUCACACUCAACUGCAGUCAUAAAAUCCCCAGCUAUGACACAGUCCUCUGGUACAAGCGUUCUGUGGAAGACACGGCUCUAAACCUCAUAGCUUAUAUAUACUAUAAAACCCCAACAGUUGAACCCUCAUAUAAAGGUCACUUUGAUGUGAGAGGAGAUGGAGAGAACGAUGCUUUCCUUCAUAUCCUCAAACCGAGACAAGCUGAAGACAGUGGGGAGUAUUUCUGUGCUGCCAGUCUACACAGUGGUACAGAGACCUAGUCCACUCUACAAAAACCUCCAUCUGACACUACAUCAAAACACCUGCAUUA